GGCCUGCUGCGGGGUGAUGUAGUGGAUGUGCGAGUCCACCCCACCGGCGGUGAGGAUGCGGUGCUCACCGGCGAUGACCUCGGUACCUGGGCCGAUGACCAGCUCGGGAUCGACACCGUCCUGGGUGUUCGGGUUGCCGGCCUUGCCGAUCUUGACGAUGCGUCCGUCCUUGAUGCCGACGUCACCCUUGACGACGCCAGCGACGGCGUCGAGCACGAUGACGCCGGUGAUCACGGUGUCGAGGGCACCGGACGCUGCGGUCGCGCCCGGGUCCUGCGCCAUGCCGUCGCG
This 291-nucleotide small RNA is filed under the name uncultured Corynebacterium sp. Its description in RNAcentral is "5' ureB small RNA". The stretch from base 11 to 150 matches the Rfam family "5' ureB small RNA", at positions 18 to 157 of the family's 292-position model. Lineage: Bacteria; Bacillati; Actinomycetota; Actinomycetes; Mycobacteriales; Corynebacteriaceae. The record is from RNAcentral.